This is a long non-coding RNA of Suricata suricatta (meerkat), 1728 nucleotides long. RefSeq lists it as uncharacterized. The transcript has 2 exons. NCBI's taxonomy places the organism in Eukaryota, Metazoa, Chordata, Mammalia, Carnivora, Herpestidae. The record is from RefSeq and is a predicted model, not a curated record.
GCCUCGUGAGCACCUGCAUCCGAUCCGGCAGGCGAGCCAACGUCUGCCACCGGCAGGCCCCGGGGGCGCCCCAGGGUGGCCCCAGCACUCGCCAGCUGCAGGUAGCCCCCCACCCCGGGGAGUCUGCGGUGUCUCUCUCUCUCACUGGCAGGGGGACCGUCCUGACUUGCAUUUUUGUGCCUCGGAAGUGGAAGGAAUAUGCUGACGUUUUCCGCGGCGUAUCUGCCUGGCCGCAGGGCAGGAGCGUGGGCCAUUGUCCGGGAGUCAGCACCGGCUCACACACACGGACCUUCCUGCCGUCGGGGCGCUCCUGCCACAGCCGCAGCCAGCUCAGCGCACAGAGAGGCUGUCCUUCCGCUGGAGCGUGUCCCCCGUGAAGUGUGGUGCGGCGACCUUCCAACCAGGAUGUUGGUGGCAAGCGGGACCUUGGAGUUGCCAUCUACAAAACAAACUGCUGUUUGUUGGUAACGGAGAGCUGCGGCCCCACAGCUCCCUGAGGUGGCUCCAAGGUUGUCCCUCCGCCAAAAAGAGGCUCCCUGUAGAUGUAGCUGAAUGAGCACCGCCCUGCACCCCCGGGGCGUGCGCUGUGUAAACCACUUCCGUGUUUUUACGGAACUGCUCACGUCACUGCCUUCCUUAUUGAAGUGCGUCUCUGUCAUCCAGCCAACAUAUUAUGGGUGUUUCAGGUUCCAAGAUUAUUUUACAUGUUCAGUCAUUGGGGCAGUUUCGAUCAAUGUCCAAUGGCAAGCUAGUAACUGUCUCAGCUUGUAUCUGGAAAUUUUCUGGUCCAAAAUCCCAGUGGCCACCACUGGGUGGCAUUCAUGUACUUUUGCCGAAAGCCCCAGCCUGGGCUCCUCUCUGAGAGCCUUCCUUCUUUUCCAAGCGCCACACAAGUGCUUUUGUGCAGAGAACUUGUCGUGCCAGUUUCCAAUAUGUCGUUAAUUAAAGUGACAAUCUCCUUCGUCCCCCGAUGUGCAACACUGUUUCAAAUUAACAAACCACAUGGGCUCAAGCAAUUCCAGAGUUUCCAUUAACAUAUCAGUUACUUGGAUAUCUUUUUCAAUACUAGGUAGAACCUCUUCACAUAAAGUCCAUUCAAAUCUUCCCAUUUUCCUCUAAAUGGUCACCUUAACCCUAUCACCUGUCAACCAUGGCGUCCUCAUGUCCUUCCCAGUGUAACUGGAGUCCCCUCAGGACCUCACCACCAGACUUGGGAAUCACAGUGCAGUGGGUCCCACGUCAAGGGGUCUCCCAUACCUGGUUAUUUUACCCACACAUGUGCAGAUGGCCUUGGGUCCCUAGCUGGAGGUUGGGUCAAAAGACCCUGACUCAAGAAUCCUGAUCACAAUCGAUUUCUGGACCAUCACCUCCAGUGAUCCAAGUUCAGAUUUCUCAUCAUAUCUGCCUUCAGGCAUUCUCAGUUCCUUCAAACUAUGGUAAACAGAGUGAUAGGUUUGGCGGGCUCGGGGAAAGGAACACCCAGAUGGCCGAGGGACCACCAUUUUGGAACUUUCCGCCCGCUGCCAGCUUCCAGGAAACACGUCAUCUGCCCUAGCCUCAUCGCUUCGCCUUAUAAGGAGGUCUUCUGCCCCUGGACACACCCCCGGAACUAGUGCCCUGUAUAAGGCCCCGCUCUUGGUCCCCCUGGCACGACUUCCUGGCCCUUCCUGUCCGGACCAGGGAACCUCGCCGGAGAGCUCUUUAAUAAAGGGUGCUCGGAUCUCUUUU